This 253-nucleotide unclassified non-coding RNA is filed under the name uncultured Planctomycetia bacterium. RNAcentral's name for it is "contains 16S-23S intergenic spacer region". It matches the Rfam family "Bacterial small subunit ribosomal RNA", at positions 524 to 776 of the family's 1533-position model. The record is from RNAcentral. Lineage: Bacteria; Pseudomonadati; Planctomycetota; Planctomycetia.
GGCGAACCGUGCUAACGUGGUUCGGAAUCACUGGGCUUAAAGGGCGCGUAGGCGGCUUGUCAAGUCGGGGGUGAAAUCUUUCGGCUUAACCGGAAAAGGGCCUUCGAUACUGACAAGCUAGAGGGAGGUAGGGGCAUGUGGAACUUCCGGUGGAGCGGUGAAAUGUGUUGAUAUCGGAAGGAACGCCGGUGGCGAAAGCGACAUGCUGGAUCUCUACUGACGCUGAGGCGUGAAAGCCAGGGGAGCAAACGGG